Molecule: small RNA, 898 nt
Filed under: Arabidopsis thaliana (thale cress)
Lineage: Eukaryota; Viridiplantae; Streptophyta; Magnoliopsida; Brassicales; Brassicaceae
Description: ATSL197110
Source: RNAcentral
AUGUUGUUUUGAGGUGAUUUGGAGCUGCUGGUGAGGUAAUUGGAAGAAGUGGACCUAAUCAAAUCAACAUACUCGACCACAAGCUCGAGUACCGUCAUCCUAGUCUUCUUGAAGUGUGCAUUUUACAUGUUUUGAGCAUCCAUUUGUCUUAGCAUCAUAUCAUCACUGUUUUAUAUCAUUUCUCAUCAUUUGUCAUCACUUUGCACGUUUAGGAUAGUUUUGCAUGCAUGUUACAUAUUUGUGUUGUUUCCAGGUGAUUUAGAGCUGUUGGGCGAGCUAAUUGGAAGAAGCGGACCUGAUCACAGCAGAACACUCGACCCAUUGGUCGAGUAGAUGGCUCCACAUCUUUAACAAACCACUCGACCCGGUCGAGUAGAAGAACUCAUCACUUCACGUCACCACUCGACCCCCUGGUCGAGUACCACCAUGAGAGUCACACGAUCACACCACUCGACCCCCUGGUCGAGUAUCAUCACCUCAAUACCUAACCAUCACUCAAUCACACCACUCGACCAAUUGGUCGAGUAACUCCAUCACGUUCACUCGAUCACUCUACCUUCAAGCCGGGUAUCACCAUCUCUAUAACUUGACUGCAUACUCGACUGCAAGCUCCAGAGUCUUCUCCAUUCCGCACUCAACCAGACACUCGAGCACAAGGAAGAAAAGAAGACUCCAGCUUAUCACUCGACCAUUCACUCAACCACCUGGGUCGAGUACCGUUCUUAAUCCGUCCCAAUACUGGGUCGUUUUGAGUAUUAGGAUUACGCAAUAUUUUGCUAUAAGUAGCAUGUAUUUUACAUUUUUGUAAAAUCUAAGUUUUAUUCCGCAGACACUGUGUUCUUGACAUUUUGUAAUCCUCAUUUCUCUUAAUCUAUUCAGUAUUCAGUAUUUGCUUUUC